Molecule: non-coding RNA, 427 nt
Organism: Lolium perenne
Lineage: Eukaryota; Viridiplantae; Streptophyta; Magnoliopsida; Poales; Poaceae
Source: RefSeq, a predicted model, not a curated record
GGUGAGAUGUCGUCGAGCCCGAAGCAAUGAUGCCAUCUCUAGAUUAGAUGGAUGAGCAUACGGUGGAGUCUUGCUCUUGGGCCGGUGGUGGUUGGUAGCCGGACGCUGUGACGCGUUGCUAGAGAGAGCGGUGCACACACAGACAAGUUGGUAGGUUGCCAUAGUGUUGGUGGACAGGAGAUGUCCUGAUCAUGCAGGUGCAAGAAGGGGAUGUGUAGGCAUAUAUGCCUGGAGGUUGGGGGCUGUGUCUGGCCAGAAGGACUGAUAAUGGAUGUUGCUGCUGUAGGGUGGGUUUACAUUAUGGGCUAGCUUUAUGUGCAUCCUUGUGUCUUUCUUGUAUUUGUGGUUUGAUCCAUGGAUUACUUGUCUCCUUUCAAAGAAUUUCAUGUCUUUGUUGUUUUUGAUUGAAUUAUAUGUUGUUUAAUUU